CAUUUAAGCCCUUAAAACAUGAAAAGAAAGUGGUCUCUUGGGAGAACAAGAAGAAAGAAUGGAGUCAGAGAUAUUACAUCUUUCCAUUUCAACAGCCAGGCAUGGAGGAGAGCGAUGUUUUGGGAUUGAGUCACUUACAUGAAGGAGGAGAGAAGGAAAUGAGUCAUCACAGUCUGUGAAACAGAAAGAAAAGAAAGAAAAGGAACCAAGGAAUAACAAGGCUCAUGAGGACAGCUGCCCUCCCUGCUGCCUUGCUAAUUCAACUGAGCAUGACCCCUUCACAUCCCAAAGACACACAGACAUCUACUCAUUAUAUGAGUCAUGGUCUUCUCCUGAUGCCAAGAAAGAACUUCAUAAGGAGAAGCAGCAAAGGAACAAGACAGCUUGAGCCAGACGACUCAUUACACCAAGAGCACAUAAGACACACAGAUCAAAGAGAAUCUCAACCUCUUCCAGUCCUUUCUACAAUACUCUCUUGCUUUGUGAAAGUUAACUCCUUUGGCUUUCUGAAGGAUUCUUCAGUAGACGAUUUAUUCAAAGAAAAAUGGGUAUGUUUCCAAAACAAAGAUACGGAGAUAAGGACACUUCAAAUAAGAUGGAGCCCAGGGGCAACUCAAACCUUAUCCCACACCUACUUGUAUUCUGCACGGGAAUAAAAACGUGGGCAAAGACAAGAAGUUCAUCAAAGGACAACAUUGACCUUGAAUUUCUACCAAAGAAGAUGAUCAGGCUUCAAAACCUGAAGAAAUUUCACAAUCUUAGAGCCAUAGCUAUUUUUUUUUUUUUUUUUGGAAAUUAAGGAUUUCAACUCGAAAAGAGGAAAGAGCUUAUCAUUGUGGUAGAAGCUAAGUAAAUGUAUUUUUCACAUUUAAAGUUCAUGAGUGAGACUUUUGUCAAAUCAACGUACGUCUCAAUGAAGAAUCACAGGAGAAAUGUGAAGAGAAACAAGGAAAAAAAUUUUUUUAAAGUAUAUGUUUUCUGACAUAAGGGCAAACAAAAUACAAAUGAUUGUUUCAUAUAAGAAGAAAAAGGAAACAAUGAAAAUGAAGCCUCUUUACUGUGACUGUAAAGCUGAAAAAGACAAAUUUGGGGAUAGUGAAGAAUAAAGAAGAGUGAUGGAAU
Non-coding RNA from Delphinapterus leucas (beluga whale), 1122 nucleotides. The record is from RefSeq and is a predicted model, not a curated record. Lineage: Eukaryota; Metazoa; Chordata; Mammalia; Artiodactyla; Monodontidae.